Long non-coding RNA from Crocodylus porosus (Australian saltwater crocodile), 957 nucleotides. NCBI's taxonomy places the organism in Eukaryota, Metazoa, Chordata, Crocodylia, Crocodylidae. The record is from Ensembl.
CGGCGGAGGAGGGGACGGCCGAGGGCCAGGGCGGGAGAAGUUGAGGCGCGGGGGGACCCGCCCGCCAAACUUUCUCGGGUCGGGCGGGUGCGAAGCUCCCCCCCGCCGGCCCCGCAUCGGCUUCAUCGUCGCUUCCCUGGUGCCCGCGGACGGACUUCACCUGGCGGCGGCUGCCCUUCCCGGCACAUGGGGUUGACCUGCGCGAGGAGCCGAGCCGAAACGUGACCCCCCCCCAGCUUCGGCGCGCGGGAGUUCAAGCGACCCGGCGGCCCCCCCCGCUCCCGGUAGCAGCUCGGCAUCCGGAGGGGAAACCGGAGUCGUGCUGAUUUUUUGCGAUGCUCUGAAAAGAAACCCUUCGGGGCGCGACACCCGAAAAUGCGGGACCCGCGCUGACGCCGGGGACGACGCGCCGCUGCGGACAUGUGCGUGGAGACCCGCGCGGAUGCGGUGUCCGGCUCCCGCCCAAAACGUCCGGCCCUCGGGCGCGGACCCGCCGGGAGGUGCGGAGGAGCGGCUCGCAGGGGCCUCGGGGAGGCGAUCAUGGCCGGAGGGAAGGUGGCUGGAGACAGCGCGGCCCCGAGGGAGGAUGACUGGGGCGAGCGAGCGGCGAGAAAGUUCAACUUCGGCGGCUUCCCCUGCCGGGGACGGUGGGCGUUUCUGGUGCUGCAGCUCCACAUGUUGCAAGCGCUGGCACAAGCAUAUUGAAGAAGUCAGGUGUAGAAAGUACCAUGUUAACUGGUAUCAAACUCUUGGAAGGUAGGACCAGCAGAGGGCAUCAAAGCGCAAGAUAUAUCCCACCAGGACUAACAGUGCUGCAUGGAGUACAGAGAACAGCUUCUCACCUAUACAUUACACUCCACCUUAUAAACUCAUUUCACAGGAUAUUCUUCUUCUGAGAUGUCAGUGAACAUUUUUUCAUUAAAUAAAAUGAUAAAAUGCAUUUUGCUCUUAAAUUUG